RNAcentral lists this ribosomal RNA (406 nucleotides) under uncultured bacterium. RNAcentral's name for it is "partial 16S ribosomal RNA". It matches the Rfam family "Bacterial small subunit ribosomal RNA", at positions 29 to 526 of the family's 1533-position model. The record is from RNAcentral.
AUUGAACGCUGGCGGCAGGCCUAACACAUGCAAGUCGAACGAGUGGCGGACGGGUGAGUAAUGGCUGGGAAACUGCCUGAUGGAGGGGGAUAACUACGGGAAACGGUAGCUAAUACCGCAUACCAUCAGAUGUGCCCAGACGGGAUUAGAUGGUUGGUGGGGUAAAGGCUCACCAAGGCGAAGAGGCCUAGCUGGUCUGAGAGGAUGACAAGCCGCCCUGGAACUGAGACACGGUCCAGACUCCUACGGGAGGCAGCAGUGGGGAAUCUUGCACAAUGGGCGAAAGCCUGAUGCAGCCAUGCCGCGUGUAUGAAGAAGGCCUUCGGGUUGUAAAGUACUUUCAGCGGGGAGGCGUUACCCGCAGAAGAAGCACCGGCUAACUCCGUGCCAGCCGCCGCGGUAAUAC